RNAcentral lists this ribosomal RNA (1343 nucleotides) under uncultured bacterium. Its description in RNAcentral is "16S ribosomal RNA". It matches the Rfam family "Bacterial small subunit ribosomal RNA", at positions 28 to 1378 of the family's 1533-position model. The record is from RNAcentral.
GACGAACGCUGGCGGCGUGCUUAACACAUGCAAGUCGAACGGAAAGGCCCUGCUUUUGUGGGGUGCUCGAGUGGCGAACGGGUGAGUAACACGUGAGUAACCUGCCCUUGACUUUGGGAUAACCUCAGGAAACUGGGGCUAAUACCGGAUAGGAGCUCCUGCUGCAUGGUGGGGGUUGGAAAGUUUCGGCGGUUGGGGAUGGACUCGCGGCUUAUCAGCUUGUUGGUGGGGUAGUGGCUUACCAAGGCUUUGACGGGUAGCCGGCCUGAGAGGGUGACCGGCCACAUUGGGACUGAGAUACGGCCCAGACUCCUACCGGAGGCAGCAGUGGGGAAUAUUGCACAAUGGGCGGAAGCCUGAUGCAGCAACGCCGCGUGCGGGAUGACGGCCUUCGGGUUGUAAACCGCUUUCGCCUGUGACGAAGCGUGAGUGACGGUAAUGGGUAAAGAAGCACCGGCUAACUACGUGCCAGCAGCCGCGGUGAUACGUAGGGUGCGAGCGUUGUCCGGAUUUAUUGGGCGUAAAGGGCUCGUAGGUGGUUGAUCGCGUCGGAAGUGUAAUCUUGGGGCUUAACCCUGAGCGUGCUUUCGAUACGGGUUGACUUGAGGAAGGUAGGGGAGAAUGGAAUUCCUGGUGGAGCGGUGGAAUGCGCAGAUAUCAGGAGGAACACCAGUGGCGAAGGCGGUUCUCUGGGCCUUUCCUGACGCUGAGGAGCGAAAGCGUGGGGAGCGAACAGGCUUAGAUACCCUGGUAGUCCACGCUGUAAACGGUGGGUACUAGGUGUGGGGUCCAUUCCACGGGUUCCGUGCCGUAGCUAACGCUUUAAGUACCCCGCCUGGGGAGUACGGCCGCAAGGCUAAAACUCAAAGGAAUUGACGGGGCCCCGCACAAGCGGCGGAGCACGCGGAUUAAUUCGAUGCAACGCGUAGAACCUUACCUGGGUUUGACAUGGAUCGGGAGCGCUCAGAGAUGGGUGUGCCUCUUUUGGGGUCGGUUCACAGGUGGUGCAUGGCUGUCGUCAGCUCGUGUCGUGAGAUGUUGGGUUAAGUCCCGCAACGAGCGCAACCCUUGUUCACUGUUGCCAGCACGUUAUGGUGGGGACUCAGUGGAGACCGCCGGGGUCAACUCGGAGGAAGGUGGGGAUGACGUCAAGUCAUCAUGCCCCUUAUGUCCAGGGCUUCACGCAUGCUACAAUGGCUGGUACAGAGAGUGGCGAGCCUGUGAGGGUGAGCGAAUCUCGGAAAGCCGGUCUCAGUUCGGAUUGGGGUCUGCAACUCGACCUCAUGAAGUCGGAGUCGCUAGUAAUCGCAGAUCAGCAACGCUGCGGUGAAUACGUUCCCGGG